CGGCGGGUGGGCCAGUGGUUAAGCCGCCAGUUUUGGGAACUGGAUCGCGGGGGUUCAAAUCCCCCCUCGCCGA
This 73-nucleotide transfer RNA is filed under the name Spirochaetia bacterium. RNAcentral describes it as "tRNA-Pro". It matches the Rfam family "tRNA". From Rfam's summary of the family: Transfer RNA (tRNA) molecules are approximately 80 nucleotides in length. Their secondary structure includes four short double-helical elements and three loops (D, anti-codon, and T loops). The record is from RNAcentral. Lineage: Bacteria; Pseudomonadati; Spirochaetota; Spirochaetia.